GUAGGUGGCAAGCGUUGUCCGGAAUUAUUGGGCGUAGAGCGCGCGCAGGUGGUUCUUUAAGUCUGAUGUGAAAGCCCCCGGCUCAACCGGGGAGGGUCAUUGGAAACUGGGGAACUUGAGUGCAGGAGAGGAAAGUGGAAUUCCACGUGUAGCGGUGAAAUGCGUAGAUAUGUGGAGGAACACCAGUGGCGAAGGCGACUUUCUGGCCUGUAACUGGCACUGAGGCGCGAAAGCGUGGGGAGCAAACAGGGAUUAGAUACCCUGGUAGUCCACGCCGUAAACGAUGAGUGCUAAGUGUUGGGGGGGGUUUCCGCCCCCUCAGUGCUGCAGCUAACGCAUUAAGCACUCCGCCUGGGAGUACGGUCGCAAGACUG
This 374-nucleotide ribosomal RNA is filed under the name uncultured organism. Its description in RNAcentral is "partial 16S ribosomal RNA". It matches the Rfam family "Bacterial small subunit ribosomal RNA", at positions 527 to 896 of the family's 1533-position model. The record is from RNAcentral.